RNAcentral lists this non-coding RNA (88 nucleotides) under unclassified sequences. The record is from RNAcentral.
AAUGAACUGUCACCGGACAGCGAACUUGUAAAAGUUCAUCUUUAUCUCUUUAGGUCUUAGUAGAGGUAAUGAUGAGCUUUUUUUUUUU